CUUAGCAUCGUUGAUAAUGGCGUAAGCGCCAUCGACAAUAAGGUCCCUUUUCAUAGAUAACGUCAGAUUUUAUAUACAUAUGUAAUGUAUUUCUAACGUAUCUUAUUUCUGGUCAACUAUCUAUGUGUGGUAGCUUUCUUAUUUUUGCUUUUUGAACUUAUUUUGAGCUUUAACAUCAAGUACAAUGGUAUGUUAAGGAUGUAAGUUAGGUAUAUUAAUAUAUAAUUUAUAGCUUGCAUAGCAUAUUAGCAUAUAUUUAUUAGCUUGUGGUGCUUGGGUACUUAUUUGUGUAGUUUAUAUUGAACUGGAUUUAAUGUUUGAAUUUGUCAUACAUAAAAAAAAACAAAAAAAUAUUUAAAGUCAAUAAAAACCAUUCUGUGCAAUAUUAGUUAUUGGCAAAACUCUAAUUCGACCAACUUAAUUGGUUUGCCGGCUUAGCCAGAAUACGAACGAAUAAUAUAUUGUUUUAAGAUAAUAUUUUAACUCCAACCACAGAGUUAAAAGAUAAGUAUAGCUGCGAACGCCAAGACAAAACUGUGAUGUCAUAACACGCAGAUUUCACACAUUUCGAUUUUUUUUUCGGUAGUGUUAACGCGCGCCACGCACACAUUAACAACUCGAGGGCGAGCGGUGAGUGGCUCAAACUAAAUCUAAAGUAAGUAUGUGUGCGUGCAAAGUCUGCUUGACAUGAAGUCACAGUUUGGUACUAAGCGACUCACUUAUCUUUAUGUCAAUACUGUGGCUCCAACUAGUAUUAUAUUGAAUUUUACUUCAAAAGCAGCUUGGGGUACUUAAUUAAACGAUUAAAUCCAGUUUGUCUUUGUAUUCCAUUAUAAAAUAAUUAUGAUCAUUAGGAAUGAUAAUUUGUUAAAUGACUUUCGUAUUUUUCCUCACGUCCAGUAUUACUUUUUCUACUUAAAUAUAAUAAUAUAUUUUGUGUUCUCCUGUUUUUUUGAUUUUUGUAUGCAUUUAAACAUAGAUUAGCUUUGGACAAGUGUUUGUAUUUUAUUGCAUUAAUGCGUGUUGUUAUAAGUAUUUGGCUAUAGCUAUUAUUGCUAUAUUAAAUUGUCUAUGCCCCGUUCUUUUUGUACUUACAAGGUUUUCUCAUAAAUAAAUAUUAAAUUACUUAUUGGC
Cydia fagiglandana is the source of this 1134-nucleotide long non-coding RNA. RefSeq lists it as uncharacterized. The record is from RefSeq and is a predicted model, not a curated record. The transcript has 2 exons. Lineage: Eukaryota; Metazoa; Arthropoda; Insecta; Lepidoptera; Tortricidae.